AUGCAUGAUCAUCCCCGGGCUACUCUGAAUUCUGAUUAUCUCGCUGACGGUGAUAGCCCCACUGCUCGUGCUAGUCUGUCGCCGUUUAGUGUUGCAGGUUAGCCGUGCUCUUUUACACGGCUGAUGUGUGUGAAAUAACGGCCACAUCC
This is a non-coding RNA of Cucumis melo (muskmelon), 149 nucleotides long. The record is from Rfam. Lineage: Eukaryota; Viridiplantae; Streptophyta; Magnoliopsida; Cucurbitales; Cucurbitaceae.